AACGCACAUUGCGCCCUUUGGUAUUCCUUAGGGCAUGCCUGUUCGAGCGUCAUUUAAACCCUCAAGCUCCGCUUGGUGUUGGGUGUCUGUCCUGCCCCCCGGGGCCGGGACUCGCCUUGAAAUCAUUGGCGGCUAGUACAUUGGCUUCGAGCGCAAGCAGAAACGCGAACCUCGGGUCCCGGUGUAUUGGCUCCCAUAAGCUACCCUUCUAUUUUGACCUCGGAUCAGGUAGGGAUACCCGCUGAACUUAA
This 251-nucleotide unclassified non-coding RNA is filed under the name uncultured fungus. Its description in RNAcentral is "partial contains 5.8S ribosomal RNA, internal transcribed spacer 2, and large subunit ribosomal RNA". Lineage: Eukaryota; Fungi. RNAcentral also lists the same sequence under 2 other names. The record is from RNAcentral.